Molecule: long non-coding RNA, 581 nt
Organism: Priapulus caudatus
Lineage: Eukaryota; Metazoa; Priapulida; Priapulimorpha; Priapulimorphida; Priapulidae
Exons: 6
Source: RefSeq, a predicted model, not a curated record
AGGCAGGUGGUGCACCAAACAGGGCAUCAAGGUGAAGAGUUGGAAGAAGCGAUACUUUGUGUUGAACAAGCAAGCCGUCUGCUACUACAAAGCUCCCGAGGAUAAGAUUCAGUUGAAGACGAUUAACUUGGAAGACAUUGCAGACGUGCGAGAGUCAAUUGGUAUUCAUCCGACAAAGCAACAUCUGUUUGAGAUUGUCACACCAGACAGAGUGUUCUACAUACAGUGCAUCACAUGUGUUGACAUGCAUGUUUGGAUAGAAGCCAUCUCUAAUCAAAUUAAGGCCCACAAGCUUGAGAGAAAGCCGACGUCAUGGGAUAGGAAGUUCAACAACACACAGAGCUGCGGCAGCAGCAGCAGUGGCAGUAGCAACACCGAGAGCCCCAUCAGCCCCAUGUUCCCGUUCCCGCGCGACUCAUCGCCGAGCCGCGACAGCCGCACGGCGUACUUCAACUACCAGCAGCUUGCGAACCGAUCGUUCCGCAUGCCGGGCACGGCGAGUGGCGCACACGCCAACAUCUCCCCGCGCGCGCUCCGCAAGUCGCAGUCGAUGGGUAGCCGAGGGAGGGCGCCCGCGCGCG